AUUGAACGCUGGCGGCAGGCCUAACACAUGCAAGUCGAGCGGAUGAAGGGAGCUUGCUCCUGGAUUCAACGGCGGACGGGUGAGUAAUGCCUAGGAAUCUGCCUGGUAGUGGGGGAUAACGUCCGGAAACGGGCGCUAAUACCGCAUACGUCCUGAGGGAGAAAGUGGGGGAUCUUCGGACCUCACGCUAUCAGAUGAGCCUAGUUCGGAUUAGCUAGUUGGUGGGGUAAAGGCCUACCAAGGCGACGAUCCGUAACUGGUCUGAGAGGAUGAUCAGUCACACUGGAACUGAGACACGGUCCAGACUCCUACGGGAGGCAGCAGUGGGGAAUAUUGGACAAUGGGCGAAAGCCUGAUCCAGCCAUGCCGCGUGUGUGAAGAAGGUCUUCGGAUUGUAAAGCACUUUAAGUUGGGAGGAAGGGCAGUAAGUUAAUACCUUGCUGUUUUGACGUUACCAACAGAAUAAGCACCGGCUAACUUCGUG
This 484-nucleotide ribosomal RNA is filed under the name uncultured bacterium. RNAcentral's name for it is "partial 16S ribosomal RNA". It matches the Rfam family "Bacterial small subunit ribosomal RNA", at positions 30 to 507 of the family's 1533-position model. The record is from RNAcentral.